Molecule: ribosomal RNA, 522 nt
Filed under: uncultured Entrophosporaceae
Lineage: Eukaryota; Fungi; Glomeromycota; Glomeromycetes; Entrophosporales; Entrophosporaceae
Description: SSU rRNA
Rfam family: Eukaryotic small subunit ribosomal RNA
Source: RNAcentral
AGCAGCCGCGGUAAUUCCAGCUCCAAUAGCGUAUAUUAGUGUUGUUGCGGUUAAAAAGCUCGUAGUUGAAUUUCGGGAUUGGGAUAUAUCGGUCAUGUCUUUAGGGGCAUGAAUCGGUGUGUGGCUAAUUCUCACCUUCUGGUGAAUUGGGAUGCUCUUGGGUAUUUCAAUGAACUAGGACUUUUACUUUGAAAAAAUUAGUGUUUAAAGUGGGCAUUUUUGCUUGAAUACAUUAGCAUGGAAUAAUAAAAUAGGACGAUGGUUCUAUUUUGUUGGUUUUAGGACCACGUAAUGAUUAAUAGGGAUAGUUGGGGGCAUUAGUAUUCAAUUGUCAGAGGUGAAAUUCUUGGAUUUAUUGAGGACUAACUACUGCGAAAGCAUUUGCCAAGGAUGUUUUCAUUAAUCAAGAACGAAAGUUAGGGGAUCAAAGACGAUUUAUGUACGUCGUAGUCUUAACCAUAAACUAUGCCGACUAGGAAUCAGACAAAGUUAAUUUUUUAACGACUUGUUUGGUACCUUACG